This 99-nucleotide ribosomal RNA is filed under the name Chloroflexota bacterium. RNAcentral's name for it is "Chloroflexi bacterium (anaerobic digester metagenome) partial 16S ribosomal RNA". It matches the Rfam family "Bacterial small subunit ribosomal RNA", at positions 1 to 101 of the family's 1533-position model. Lineage: Bacteria; Bacillati; Chloroflexota. The record is from RNAcentral.
ACGGAGAGUUUGAUCCUGGCUCAGGAUGAACGCUGGCGGCGUGCCUAAUACAUGCAAGUCGAACGUGAUCCCCGUUUUCGGAUGGGGUGAAAGUGGCGC